Non-coding RNA from Picea glauca (white spruce), 119 nucleotides. Lineage: Eukaryota; Viridiplantae; Streptophyta; Pinopsida; Pinales; Pinaceae. The record is from Rfam.
GGGUGCGAUCAUACCAACAUUAAUGCAUCGGAUCCCAUCAGAACUCCGCAGUUAAGCGCACUUGGGCUAGAGUAGUACUGGGAUGGGUGACCUCCCUGGAUGUCCUAUUGUUGCACCCU